CAAAAUUAAUAUUUUAAUUAGAAUACCUGUGCUGCCCUUCAUAUGUUGUAUUAUUUGGCUGUUGAUUUGGCGACACCUAGUGGACGCAAUAAUUCACUGCAUAUUCGUUGGCUGCUGUUCAACUCGAACUAUCGCCAUAUAUGCUAUUACUUGUCGUAACGGAAUAUGAUCUAUUACGGUUCUGCCUUGGAUACUAUAUCUCUGGAAGUAACGUCUAACAUCAUUUAAAUAAUUUUUUACAAUAUUAGAAGAAGAAUUACUCCAAUAAAGGACAAGAAAAGACAAACCUUGUUUGUUUAUGGAGCAGCUUCCAGCUACCAAGCUUUGCAUAGAAACGCACUGCAAGUCUGCGGCCUUUUGGACAAGAAAUUUGGACACCCCUUCUAUAAGCUAAAGUGGUCCUAAAUGGAAUGGACCUGUUGUUGAUCAAAAUGGCGACCUACGGAGGAGCAGUAUCAGUAUACAAAGACGAGUGACUGUGCUGAAUGAAA
Non-coding RNA from Doryrhamphus excisus (bluestripe pipefish), 491 nucleotides. The record is from RefSeq and is a predicted model, not a curated record. Lineage: Eukaryota; Metazoa; Chordata; Actinopteri; Syngnathiformes; Syngnathidae.